RNAcentral lists this unclassified non-coding RNA (309 nucleotides) under plant metagenome. Its description in RNAcentral is "partial contains 5.8S ribosomal RNA, internal transcribed spacer 2, and large subunit ribosomal RNA". The stretch from base 1 to 105 matches the Rfam family "5.8S ribosomal RNA", at positions 50 to 154 of the family's 154-position model. The record is from RNAcentral.
GAAAUGCGAUAAGUAGUGUGAAUUGCAGAAUUCAGUGAAUCAUCGAAUCUUUGAACGCACAUUGCGCCCCUUGGUAUUACAUGGGGCAUGCCUGUUCGAGCGUCAUUUGUACCCUCAAGCUCUGCUUGGUGUUGGGUGUUUGUCCCGUCUCCGCGCGUGGACUCGCCCCAAAGUGAUUGGCAGCCGGCGUACUGGUCCCGGAGCGCAGCACAUGUCGCGCAAACGAGUGCCUUGGUACGGCGGCGUCCAUAAGCCCCUCUCUCACGCUCUUGACCUCGGAUCAGGUAGGGAUACCCGCUGAACUUAAGC